RNAcentral lists this ribosomal RNA (351 nucleotides) under uncultured soil bacterium. RNAcentral's name for it is "bacterial SSU rRNA". It matches the Rfam family "Bacterial small subunit ribosomal RNA", at positions 26 to 375 of the family's 1533-position model. The record is from RNAcentral.
AGAGUGAACGCUGGCGGUAGGCCUAACACAUGCAAGUCGAACGGCAGCACAGUGGUAGCAAUACCAUGGGUGGCGAGUGGCGGACGGGUGAGGAAUACAUCGGAAUCUACCUUUUCGUGGGGGAUAACGUAGGGAAACUUACGCUAAUACCGCAUACGCCCUUUGGGGGAAAGCCGGGGAUCGCAAGACCUGGCGCGGAUAGAUGAGCCGAUGUCGGAUUAGCUAGUUGGUGAGGUAAUGGCUCACCAAGGCGACGAUCCGUAGCUGGUCCGAGAGGAUGAUCAGUCACACUGGAACUGAGACACGGCCCAGGCUCCUACGGGAGCAGCAGUGGGAAUAUUGGACAAUGGG